UAUUUGCUGUAAUAUUCAUGUUUUGGGUAUCUCAAAGUGUGUUACCGAAAUAGGUGCACCUUAAAUUGUCAUCAUAGUUUAAUGUUUAUCAUUGGUCAUUAGGGUGUUAUGCUACAGUGAUUACUUUUCAAUAAGAGCCUUAAUUUAACGAUCAAAGAACUCAUGUUUAGAACUCAUGGCUGAGCGCUACCAGAACAUACCAGGAGCAGCACAAAUACCCGCCACUCCAACAUGUCAAACCUCAAGCCAAAUUAUGCAUACUCCUCACUCCAUUCCAUUUUCACUCUGCAAACAUACUCUGGCAGUGAGAAAUAUUGUUCAGUUGGCCUGUCACCAUCAAUGUUCUAUUCGCCUUAUUCACCUACGUCACCCUCUUAAAACCAAAAUGAGGCUGAGGAGUACGGAAAUAGCAUUGGACCACUGGAUACCAGCAAUGUCGACUCACUUCUGCCUUCCCAAAUGUACCUUUUCCAAAAGAAAGACAUCUUUUAAAGGUCAAACCUUCCAUUGUUUCUCAAAAGAUCCUGUACUUUGCUGUGAAUAUAUUCAAAAAUAAGAAGAGAUCCUGGUCGCCAUUUCAAGGUAAGAUGUAAGCCUAAAUAGCUACGUCUUGAUUAACCCGAAACUGUCCUCUCGUUUUAACAUACAUCAUUAGUAACUAUAAAACAGUAAAAUACAUUUUAUAUCCAACAUUACAGAUCCACGUGGACACAAAAGUAUGUUUAGAUCACUUCACAUAAGAGUCUUUCUUGAAGACACUGGCUGGCAUGUGAAAGUUGAAGAAGGGUGUCGUGCCAACUUUGUUUGCCUGGACUACAAGUCAUGCAACCACUGCCGUUGGUGAAGAAGAAGUCCUGCAGGUUGAUUUGAAUUCCAAUGAGUUGAGUGAAAAGACCCUCCACACCCUGAUCAUGAUUAUGCUGAAUUGCCACUGGAGCAAAUUGAGGACGCCCACAAGACCAUCAACGAUUAAGCAGAAUUAAUAGCACUGCUUCAAGACAAGCAGUUUCUCCUUUCAAGAUUCCAGGGCGACGAUAUGAACUUGUUUUACGCAGGCUUUCCAGAUUACAACACAAAGCAGUGUUUAGAGCCCUACAGCCUACUGCAGAAAACAUGGUAGGGUGGAGUCAAGCACAGUGACUAAGGCAAGCUGAUGUGGAAAUUCUAUGGCAGGGGUUUAGCAAUCCUUUUUAUUUUUCCUUUUUAUUUGUCAUCUGAAGCAAGGUUUUCCUGAACAGGACCUUGCAGUGCGCUUCGAUGUGUCACUCAACUGUAACCUGGACAAGCUUCCUACAUUUCAUGUUAGGAUCACUUCCAAUUUGGCCUUCGAGAGAAACGAACAUAUCCCUCCUUGUUUCUAAAGCACUUUCCCACUUACAAGAGUUAUAUUAGACUGUAUGGAAAUACAUGUGCACACACCUAGCUCAAAACUCUGAAAUAUACUCUCACUACAAAGGUAAUACCACCUUUAAGAGCCUAAUUGGUAUCUCUCCAUCAGGUGAAGUGACAUUUGUCAGUGACCUGUAUACAGGUUCGAUAUCUGACAAGGAGAUAAGAGAAUCAGGGAUCCUAUCUUUACUUGAGGAAGGCGAUGAGGUCAUGGCUAAUAAAGGCUUUCUCAUCAAGGACCUUCUUUCAGAAAUGUCUCCCUGGUGAUCCCACACUUUUUAGGCCCAAGUGAACAUUUCAGCCCAGAAGAGGUUAGACAGACACAAGCAAUAGCCAGACUUCGCAUUCAUGUCGAGCGUGCCAUUAGGAGGAUCAACGAGUAUUACAUAUUUGAUAGUCUUACCAAUGACACUAGUGGGCUCUAAAUUAACUGUUUUUGCCCUCUUAUAUAUCUUCCAAGGCCCUCUGUUCUUAAGAACAGUUCUCUUUAUGGAAAGGUUUGAUAAAAUAUAAAUUACACUGAA
Long non-coding RNA from Esox lucius (northern pike), 1913 nucleotides. RefSeq lists it as uncharacterized. The transcript is spliced from 3 exons. The record is from RefSeq and is a predicted model, not a curated record. Lineage: Eukaryota; Metazoa; Chordata; Actinopteri; Esociformes; Esocidae.